GUGGGGAAUAUUGGACAAUGGGGGGAACCCUGAUCCAGCCAUGCCGCGUGUGUGAAGAAGGCCUUUUGGUUGUAAAGCACUUUAAGCGAGGAGGAGGCUACCGAGAUUAAUACUCUUGGAUAGUGGACGUUACUCGCAGAAUAAGCACCGGCUAACUCUGUGCCAGCAGCCGCGGUAAUACAGAGGGUGCAAGCGUUAAUCGGAUUUACUGGGCGUAAAGCGCGCGUAGGUGGCCACUUAAGUCAAAUGUGAAAUCCCCGAGCUUAACUUGGGAAUUGCAUUCGAUACUGGUUGGCUAGAGUAUGGGAGAGGAUGGUAGAAUUCCAGGUGUAGCGGUGAAAUGCGUAGAGAUCUGGAGGAAUACCGAUGGCGAAGGCAGCCAUCUGGCCUAAUACUGACACUGAGGUGCGAAAGCAUGGGGAGCAAACAGGAUUAGAUACCCUAGUAGUCC
This 451-nucleotide ribosomal RNA is filed under the name uncultured bacterium. Its description in RNAcentral is "bacterial SSU rRNA". It matches the Rfam family "Bacterial small subunit ribosomal RNA", at positions 354 to 796 of the family's 1533-position model. The record is from RNAcentral.